AUUGAACGCUGGCGGCACGCCUAACACAUGCAAGUCGAGCGGCAGCGAGAUUAGUAGCAAUACUAAUUGUCGGCGAGCGGCGGACGGGUGAGGAACACGUAGGGACCUGCCUAAGAGAGGGGGAUAACUAAUGGAAACGUUAGCUAAUACCGCAUAGUCUCGAGAGAGCAAAGCUGCAGCAAUGUAGCGCUUUUAGAGGGGCCUGCGUCCGAUUAGUUAGUUGGUGAGGUAAAAGCUCACCAAGACGAUGAUCGGUAACUGGUCUGAGAGGACGACCAGUCACACUGGGACUGAGACACGGCCCAGACUCCUACGGGAGGCAGCAGUGGGGAAUCUUGGACAAUGGGGGAAACCCUGAUCCAGCGAUGCCGCGUGAGUGAAGAAGGCCUUCGGGUCGUAAAGCUCUUUAGGCUGGGAGGAAGGAUAUUCGAGGAAAUGCGAGUAUUUUGACUGUACCAGCAGAAUAAGCACCGGCAAACUCUGUGCCAGCAGCCGCCGUAA
This 501-nucleotide ribosomal RNA is filed under the name uncultured bacterium. Its description in RNAcentral is "partial 16S ribosomal RNA". It matches the Rfam family "Bacterial small subunit ribosomal RNA", at positions 30 to 523 of the family's 1533-position model. The record is from RNAcentral.